GAUGAACGCUGGCGGCGUGCCUAAUACAUGCAAGUCGAGCGAACGGACGAGAAGCUUGCUUCUCUGAUGUUAGCGGCGGACGGGUGAGUAACACGUGGAUAACCUACCUAUAAGACUGGGAUAACUUCGGGAAACCGGAGCUAAUACCGGAUAAUAUUUUGAACCGCAUGGUUCAAAAGUGAAAGACGGUCUUGCUGUCACUUAUAGAUGGAUCCGCGCUGCAUUAGCUAGUUGGUAAGGUAACGGCUUACCAAGGCAACGAUGCAUGGCCGACCUGAGAGGGUGAUCGGCCACACUGGAACUGAGACACGGUCCAGACUCCUACGGGAGGCAGCAGUAGGGAAUCUUCCGCAAUGGGCGAAAGCCUGACGGAGCAACGCCGCGUGAGUGAUGAAGGUCUUCGGAUCGUAAAACUCUGUUAUUAGGGAAGAACAUAUGUGUAAGUAACUGUGCACAUCUUGACGGUACCUAAUCAGAAAGCCACGGCUAGCUACGUG
RNAcentral lists this ribosomal RNA (497 nucleotides) under uncultured bacterium. Its description in RNAcentral is "partial 16S ribosomal RNA". It matches the Rfam family "Bacterial small subunit ribosomal RNA", at positions 28 to 507 of the family's 1533-position model. The record is from RNAcentral.